GCCGGGCAUGGUGGCGGGUGCCUGUAAUCCCAGCUACUUGGGAGGCUGAGGCAGGAGAAUCGCUUGAACCCAGGAGUUGGAGGUUGCAGUGAGCCCAGGUCGUGCCACUGCACUCCAGCCUGGGCGACAGAGUGAGACUCAGUCUAAA
This is an unclassified non-coding RNA of Macaca fascicularis (crab-eating macaque), 148 nucleotides long. It matches the Rfam family "Metazoan signal recognition particle RNA". From Rfam's summary of the family: The signal recognition particle (SRP) is a universally conserved ribonucleoprotein. It is involved in the co-translational targeting of proteins to membranes. The eukaryotic SRP consists of a 300-nucleotide 7S RNA and six proteins: SRPs 72, 68, 54, 19, 14, and 9. The record is from Ensembl. Lineage: Eukaryota; Metazoa; Chordata; Mammalia; Primates; Cercopithecidae.